UAAUACGAGGGGUGCAAGCGUUGUCCGGAAUCACUGGGCGUAAAGGGCGCGUAGGCGUCCCGAAAAGCCCUGAUUGAAAUCUUUCGACUCAAUCGGAAAACUGGUCAGGGAACUAUCGGGAUUGAGUUUGGUAGAGGAGAGCGGAAUUCCUGGUGUAGCGGUGAAAUGCGUAGAUAUCAGGAGGAACACUGACGGCGAAGGCAGCUCUCUGGGCCAACACUGACGCUGAGGCGCGAAAGCGUGGGGAGCAAACAGGAUUAGAUACCCUGGUAGUCCACGCCGUAAACGAUGAGCACUUGGUGUUGGAGGAUUCGACCCCUUCAGUGCCGUAGCUAACGCGUUAAGUGCUCCGCCUGGGGACUACGACCGCAAGGUUG
This 377-nucleotide ribosomal RNA is filed under the name uncultured bacterium. Its description in RNAcentral is "bacterial SSU rRNA". It matches the Rfam family "Bacterial small subunit ribosomal RNA", at positions 521 to 896 of the family's 1533-position model. The record is from RNAcentral.